Molecule: long non-coding RNA, 924 nt
Filed under: Olea europaea subsp. europaea
Lineage: Eukaryota; Viridiplantae; Streptophyta; Magnoliopsida; Lamiales; Oleaceae
Source: RNAcentral
GGGUCUUGGGGUCAUUUGGUUAGGUUGUGGACCAGGUUGGUGUCUGUUUUGUUGGGGCCGAGACUAUGAGUGAGUAGAAUAUGCAGGCCUUGAACCAAAUCAAGUUCGGUGAGGGUGUGCUUUGGUGGCGAUAUUGGCUAUUACAGGAGCAGGAGCAGGUGAUGUUUUGACAGUUUCAUGCUUCAUAAGAGAUUCAAAAGUAUACAAUUUUUCACGAAGCUCGUCGAAGGAGAUUGUGGUUUCACGGGCACGAAUAGCAGAACUUAGAGAGCUGAAUUCAUCACCAAGGCCAGAUAGGAUUUUAUCUGUAAGAAGAUCAGGUGCGAGUGGUGCAUUCAUGAGAGAGAACGUAUCUGAAAGAGAUUUGGCAUACUGCAUAUACUCUGUGACCAAUUGAGAUCCUUUAUGUCGGUGAUCAAGGAGACCAGAGAUAUGCAUGAGGCGUCCCCGAGAAGGCGUAGCAUAGGUGUUAUGGAGGGAAAGCAAUGCUUCACAAGAAGUUUUUGCCAAGGCAAUGAAUGACACAAGGGUUGGAGAGAGGGAGCCGAGUAUUGCAUUUAAAAGAAGUUGAUCUUGUCGAAUCCAGAGAGAUUAUGCUGGGUUUGGGACUGAGAUAUUGUUGGUUGUAAUGGUGGGAGGUGGAGUGGGAAAUGAACCAUCAAUAUAGCCGGACAGGUUGUAGCCAAUGAGGAUUGUUUGAAACUGUUGGUGCCGGGAAGAAUAAUUUGUUUGAUUGAGUUUAAUGGGACAUUGGGCAGAAACGUUCAUACUGAUGAGAGAAUUGUUGUUGUCAAGUGGGUUGAGGAGUAAGGGUUGAGAGGUAGUGGUGGUAGGACCAGUGCUGGGUGUGGAGCUAUUAUCAGCAGAGGGGGAAGUUGUCAUGUUUGGAUCUUGUGGCUCUGAUGCCAUGAUAAAAUUGUUGAA